Long non-coding RNA from Phyllostomus discolor (pale spear-nosed bat), 2296 nucleotides. RefSeq lists it as uncharacterized. The transcript is spliced from 2 exons. Lineage: Eukaryota; Metazoa; Chordata; Mammalia; Chiroptera; Phyllostomidae. The record is from RefSeq and is a predicted model, not a curated record.
GACUCAUGGACAAGAAUGGGGUGGUUGCAGGGGAGAGGAGAAAUAAGGAAGAUAAAUGGAAAUGGAAAAAAUAAAAAAUACUUCUGUUUUUUGAGGGCAGCCUGUUCAGUUUGGCUGUCUUUUUUUUUUUUUUUUUCUUUUCACCAUAGAUACAUUUGGUUCUCCCUAUAGCCAUGGAUUCAGGAGUGUUCCUUCUGUUAUGUGUUCUUUACCUUCAGCAGUCGUUUUAAUUCUGAAACUGCUCUAGAAGGAGACUUCAGUUUUGUGUGGUAGAUUUUUCAGAAUCCUGCUUUCUCCUUAAAGGACACUAUAUGAUGGGGUCAUUUGCCUCUUUGAAGUAGUAGAGAUCAUUGUGAACUUCUGGGAAUAUCCUUGGUUUUCAGGACAACUGGCGCUGGGUUCUGGCUGUCCCUUCUCUCAGGUCCCUGCUCAAGGAGCUUCUAAUCCUAGACGCCAGAGGGCUCUGACGUCCAGCUUCUUACUUACAGUCACUGCUUUCAAGUUUGCACUUCAGACUUACUUUUUCCAACCACUGAACCUCUAUUCCAAGUUGAAAAUAAAUUUAAGAAAAUUAUAGUACUUUAAAAAUGCACUUAUACCUCAGUGGAAUGGUGAAGAGGAGAGACUUUUCUGUUGAAUUAUGAUGAAGGACCCAGCUUUAAGAAAUGCUACUGGUAAUCAGGAGUUUGUACAUAAAGCAUAACAUAACAGUGAAAUUAUGUCAGAAAGAUAAAUUGGAUUCUGGAAGCAAGAUAGUAAAAUAUAGACUGUAAUUUAAGUUGACCAGCUGGAUUUCAAAAAGCUAGUUCUGCAGCUCUUUUUAAUCUUGCUGAGAAGUGACAGUGUUCAUCCACAGCAGCCGCUGGCUCCAGGCCCCAGGCUCGGAGGUGAUUGUCCUAAUCUGUUUCUGCCCCAGUAACAGGCCCUUUAGUCCUACUGGAACAGCAAUGGAUUCCUUAAUAAAAACACCAAUGCAUCCAAGUUCCCGACUUAUGGAAUAGAAAAUGUUCUGUUCUUUGAACUUUCAUUGAUAAUACCGAGAUGUAGUAUACACAAGAAAACACAAUUCUGUGGAUUGCUGGGCACAGGAACCACAGGAGCUUUAAAGAUGGCAGAUACCCCCAUUGUUUCCCAGUGAACCAAAUCUUAGUGAGAAAUCCAUGCUCCAUGAAGGUGGGCUGUAUUCAUCCCAUGACUUCAGCAUCCUUGCCCAUCAUGGAGGGCUGGGGUUGAAGUGAACUCCUCUAGAGGUGGGCAAGAUGAGGCUUCUUGAAAUUCUUUGAAACCUAGUGUUAUGAAAAAGUAAUGUUUCAGGGCACCAUUGUGGUCAGUGCAAGGAGUGUUAAAGUGGCCUUUUAUUAUUUAAACAUUUGUUUGAAUUUCUACAUAUGUUUGUGCAUGGAGUGGUGACUUGCAAUAGGUUGUAAAUGAGGUUGUAAAUGAGAUCAUUUCAGUUCUGUUGUGACUGGCAUGAGUGUGCCAGACAGGCUUAGGUAAAUGUUUUUUUUUCUUAUUGUGGUGGGUAUGUCAUUUACAGAAACAGGAGGAAACCUUGGGCAGGGGUUUGGGCCCAGGGUGGUCCACAUGUCUACAUGGGCACCUUUCUCCCUUGGGCCCUAUCAGCCAAAACAUGCAUCUGGCAUCUGCUAUCUGAAUAAAUGUGUAUCACAUAUAUGUGCUUUUAUUUUUCAAAUGUGGACAGAUGAUAUAUGAUUUUAAAAAUGCAGAAGUCCAAAGCCGCUGAGCAUUUGCAGUGCUUUUAAGUAUCUUUGCAUUUUAUUCAUCUUCAGGUGCUAAAAUCAAAAUGACUGUCACGUGAAGGUUGACUUUUUAGUGUUAAAAGUGAUGUUGUUUCCUUUGGACUGAAGUUCAUAGAUGUUCUUUUAUGUAAAUAAGUACCUAUGUCUUCACCAAAGGUCUGCAUAGGUACUUAUUUACAUAUAGAAGUACAUUAUGUUUCUCAGAAAAAAAUUAGUACACUACUCUGAUCUUAGUGGUUUUACAUUCAUCCUCUUUGGGGACACCUAGUGGUUAUACUAUAAAGUGCAGCUGUUCUGUCUAGACACCGUCUGUUGCCCAGAACUGCUCGCUAAUUCAAACUCCACCUGAAUGUCAGAGAGGGGUGCUCUUCCCCUGCUUAUUCCAGCUGGUGAGUUUCUUAGAUGCCCACACUUGUGGUAGAUGGGUAUUGGAACCUUAGACCCAAGGUGUCUGUGAUUCUGAAUGCAGGCCAAGAUGGUUUCCCUAAAGUGUAGUAUGGAAAAAAUGCUGCAUGAUUGGAACACUGGAAUAGGAA